This 508-nucleotide ribosomal RNA is filed under the name uncultured bacterium. RNAcentral's name for it is "partial 16S ribosomal RNA". It matches the Rfam family "Bacterial small subunit ribosomal RNA", at positions 28 to 507 of the family's 1533-position model. The record is from RNAcentral.
GACGAACGCUGGCGGCGUGCCUAAUACAUGCAAGUCGAACGCUUCUUUCCUCCCGAGUGCUUGCACUCAAUUGGAAAGAGGAGUGGCGGACGGGUGAGUAACACGUGGGUAGCCUACCCAUCAGAGGGGGAUGACACUUGGAAACAGGUGCUAAUACCGCAUAACAGUUUAUGCCGCAUGGCAUAAGAGUGAAAGGCGCUUUCGGGUGUCGCUGAUGGAUGGACCCGCGGUGCAUUAGCUAGUUGGUGAGGUAACGGCUCACCAAGGCCACGAUGCAUAGCCGACCUGAGAGGGUGAUCGGCCACACUGGGACUGAGACACGGCCCAGACUCCUACGGGAGGCAGCAGUAGGGAAUCUUCGGCAAUGGACGAAAGUCUGACCGAGCAACGCCGCGUGAGUGAAGAAGGUUUUCGGAUCGUAAAACUCUGUUGUUAGAGAAGAACAAGGACGUUAGUAACUGAACGUCCCCUGACGGUAUCUAACCAGAAAGCCACGGCUAACUACGUG